CGUUUCACUACACGGGGGAGAUUUCCAGACAGCUUCAGCUGACAGAGCUGUGACGAGACGCCCAUUAAGCCCGAAUGAAAAGUAAGGCCGAGCAAAAGAAUGCUGACCUUGAUAACUCUGCAUUAACACUGUACAGGACAGUGACGGACCAACACGGAUGAUCGGGCAGCAGAAGAAAGGGCGUGCCAGAGACAGGAGGAGCAACUGAGGUCAAAAGGCACCUCAGAAUGGACAAAACACAGAAGAAGAUGCAGGUUUCACCUGCGGUGAGCAUGGACACUGGAGAAAGGACUGCCCCAAUUGGGGCCAGGACCAGGACAGACUGAACUAUGAGCAGCAGCAGCAAUGGUCGCAACCGGACUGAAAAGGAGGAGGGCAGGACCCCAGGACACGCUUCAGGCCGUGGUUUACCCAAAACACCAGAACAGGAAAGUGAUAAACACGCCAACAUACACAAACAUACACAUCUACACACACUGACUCAGAAUGAAGAGAAACACACACCUGAACAGACGUGCACUUGUUGAUUGAGUGAGAAAUGACACACACACACAUCAGACAAUGUACACUCAUCAAACAUGACUGACGCCCUGAACGCCUUGAGACAGAUCCAGCAGGCCCAAAGUCAGGCCUAUGUAAAUAAUACAAGUGACUGCUAAAAAGACUACUACUGCCUUUUCACUGUGUAAUACUUUUUGUUAAUAACCAACGGUGCAAUAGACUUCAAUACUUGAAAUACUUGAAAUACUUGCAAUUCCUUUGUAUUCUUAUUCUUAUUUAUUCUAUUUAUCCCUUUUUGUAUUUUUACUUUUAUUUUGUGUUUUUGUAACAUGUAUCCUGCCAUGUCUGAAACUCAUGAUUAACCGUAUAAUUGUUUCCACUGUUGCUGCAUACAUAGCCGUGACAAAUGAUGAUGAUGACCCCGACCUGUUGGAGCAUGAAGACUUUGUGUGAUUAAUGAUGAUGUGACAGAAAAUGUACAACAAGAUGUUACAUACUGAUAUCUCACUUCAAAGUUAUACUGACAACAGGAGGGAAUGUCAAUGGAAAAUUGUACUUAGUAGUCAGUAUAAGCUUUUAAUGAUAUAAGUUUGCAUAUGAUAGAAUACUGUAUGUUGACCUUUUGAUGACUUAGACUGUUGUCCACUACAAGACUGUUUUAUAAAUUCUUUCUCACAGCGAUAAUAGCUGUUAUUAUUUCACUCCUGCCAGGAAGAGGCGAACUGGACACUCUUAUCUGACGCUCCCUAACAAGAAGAGAAGCCGCGUCUUUCUGUAUCCCACAACACACAUUCAUACACCUAAACCGCUCUUAUCUUCACUCCCUACGCACUAACUUUCCUCUGCCUAUGAAUAGACGUAUUCACUGUUGUAUUAUUUUUGCAUAUAAAUAAAGACAAGUGCAAGAACAGAGCGCGCAUCACAGGGCCCCCACUCUGGUGUGAGCGUUCUGUGACCGCCCUUGUAUACAAGUGAAAACCACAGCGUCUGUGAAAACCAGCCUACAAAAUGCAGGACUGCAAUCCAGACUGGGCACCUCUAUCAACCUGGGUCAUACCGAGUUUAAAGCUGCUACCACAUCAAGAUUUGAUCGGUUAAGAGAGAGAGCGAUAUCAAAACAGCCAUGAAACGUCCGCAUAUAUGUGCCCAAGUGUUGUAUUGAAGCAAUCAAGUGAUGAAUAACUGUUUUCCAGUAUGUUGUUUUGCAAUGGGGUUUUUUUGUUGCAUUGUUGAUUUGUUUUUCACUGAAG
Long non-coding RNA from Oreochromis aureus, 1751 nucleotides. The record is from Ensembl. NCBI's taxonomy places the organism in Eukaryota, Metazoa, Chordata, Actinopteri, Cichliformes, Cichlidae.